GAUGAACGCUAGCUACAGGCUUAACACAUGCAAGUCGAGGGGCAGCAUGUCGGUUGCUUGCAACCGAUGAUGGCGACCGGCGCACGGGUGAGUAACGCGUAUCCAACCUGCCCACCACUUGGGGAUAACCUUGCGAAAGUAAGACUAAUACCCGAUGAUAUCCCUAGAAGACAUCUGAAAGGGAUUAAAGAUUUAUCGGUGAUGGAUGGGGAUGCGUCUGAUUAGCUUGUUGGCGGGGUAACGGCCCACCAAGGCAACGAUCAGUAGGGGUUCUGAGAGGAAGGUCCCCCACAUUGGAACUGAGACACGGUCCAAACUCCUACGGGAGGCAGCAGUGAGGAAUAUUGGUCAAUGGGCGAGAGCCUGAACCAGCCAAGUAGCGUGCAGGAAGACGGCCCUAUGGGUUGUAAACUGCUUUUAUAUGGGGAUAAAGUGAGGGACGUGUCCCUGUUUGCAUGUACCACAGGAAUAAGGACCGGCUAAUUCCGUGCCAGCAGCCG
RNAcentral lists this ribosomal RNA (500 nucleotides) under uncultured bacterium. Its description in RNAcentral is "bacterial SSU rRNA". It matches the Rfam family "Bacterial small subunit ribosomal RNA", at positions 28 to 517 of the family's 1533-position model. The record is from RNAcentral.